CCCAGACCCCGAGACAUGGGAAGACUUACAGUCCCCAGGGGAUGGGGCCCGGACCCGGCCUGAGCUGGAGGUGGUGGUGGAGAAGCGCAUAAUGGGCCCAAAGCCAGAGAAGACCACCUUCUGUUCAAAGAGCUCUGUCACUGUCUCUGUGUCCUGGGAUGAGUGUGCCCCCUGCUCCAGUUUUCCCACCUAUGAUGAAGUGGGAGGAGAAUGACUCCCCACCCUACUGACUCCACUGGACAGAGAGAGAUGAAAACGGUCCCAGAGUCUGCCCUGCUGUACUCAUCUGUAGAUCAUUCAUUUAAGAAAUACUCAGAAGGUUUGAUAUCUUGAUCUGGGUUAUGGUUAUGUGAGUGUAUACACAUGUCAAAAUUCAUCAAGCUGUACACUAAGAUUGAUGCAUUUUAUUGUACCUCAAUAUAAAAAAAAUAAUAAAUUUAAUGAAAAUAAAUAUUCAA
This is a long non-coding RNA of Manis pentadactyla (Chinese pangolin), 458 nucleotides long. RefSeq lists it as uncharacterized. The record is from RefSeq and is a predicted model, not a curated record. The transcript has 3 exons. Lineage: Eukaryota; Metazoa; Chordata; Mammalia; Pholidota; Manidae.